UACGUAGGGACCAAGCGUUGUUCGGAUUUACUGGGCGUAAAGGGCGCGUAGGCGGCAAUUCAAGUCAUCUGUGAAAUCUCCGGGCUUAACCCGGAACGGUCAGGUGAUACUGUUUUGCUAGAGUGCGGAAGGGGCAAUCGGAAUUCUCGGUGUAGCGGUGAAAUGCGUAGAUAUCGAGAGGAACACCGGUGGCGAAGGCGGCCUUCUGGACGGAUACUGACGCUGAUACGCGAAAGCGUGGGGAGCAAACAGG
RNAcentral lists this ribosomal RNA (253 nucleotides) under uncultured bacterium. Its description in RNAcentral is "partial 16S ribosomal RNA". It matches the Rfam family "Bacterial small subunit ribosomal RNA", at positions 524 to 776 of the family's 1533-position model. The record is from RNAcentral.